RNAcentral lists this long non-coding RNA (649 nucleotides) under Equus caballus (horse). Its description in RNAcentral is "lncRNA (ENSECAG00000042044.2)". The record is from RNAcentral. Lineage: Eukaryota; Metazoa; Chordata; Mammalia; Perissodactyla; Equidae.
CCUGUUUUGAGCUUCCCACUGCUGCUGGGGCUGCAGCCGGUCUCCGGGAUGAUGGACGAGCACUGACAGGGGAGCGGCAGGGGUGUAGAGGACUCAGGGAGCACAUCGUCCAAACAUCACAAGGAUACAGCAGCCCCCUUUCCGUGCACAGAGGCCUCCGCCCUCCAAGCCCCAGAGGGAAAUGCUUGUCAAAGGUGCCACCUCCUCCAAGAUAACGGAUUUUGGGUUGAGAAGAUAGACUGUGAUACAAACAACAACCAUGAGGACAACAACAACAUCUCGACAACGACAGCAACAAAUGCCAUUUUCGAGGGCCUAAUUCCCGCCACACACUGUAGUGGAUGUCCUUGACCACCAGUCAAGGUCAAAUGAAACGGAAGUGGUCCGCCCCUUAAUUCAGUCAACAGAGGAGCACGCAAAGUUUAUCCAAGGAGAAGUUGGCUAUAAAUUUUUCCGUCUCCACAGCCACCUGGCCCUGGCCCCAAGCUCGGUCAGUGGAUGCUGCUGAGCAGACUACAGAUCCGUCACUGGGCGAGUCCUGAGCCAGCACAGCUGUCACGGGGAGGAGUGGCUCUGCGCCGCAGCCAUGGCGAGUUUAUCCUUGAGCAUGACAGGUAAGAAAACUGAAGUCCAGAGGGCUCAAAUAAAU